UUCCAGCAAACUUCACGGGGGAACAAUGAGGGCAAAACCGCAUCAUCGAUCAGUUUUAACCAAAUAUUCUCUGGUUCAGCUCACCUAAAGACAGCGU
Molecule: long non-coding RNA, 97 nt
Organism: Sander lucioperca (pikeperch)
Lineage: Eukaryota; Metazoa; Chordata; Actinopteri; Perciformes; Percidae
Exons: 3
Source: RefSeq, a predicted model, not a curated record